This is a long non-coding RNA of Tarenaya hassleriana, 258 nucleotides long. RefSeq lists it as uncharacterized. The transcript is spliced from 4 exons. Lineage: Eukaryota; Viridiplantae; Streptophyta; Magnoliopsida; Brassicales; Cleomaceae. The record is from RefSeq and is a predicted model, not a curated record.
GGAAAAUCGACUUUGAUAAGCUCAUUAACAGACACUGCUCUCUACUGCAAUGAACGUUUGUUUGCCACAUUAGAUCCUAGACUAAAGAGUGUCGCUCUUCCUUCCGGAAGGAAAGCGCUUCUUAGUGACACUGUGGGAUUCAUAUCAGAUCUACCUGUGCAGCUGGUGAAAGCAUUUCAAUCUACCCUGGAGGAAGUUGUAGAAGCUGAUCUCCUUCUGGUAUGAGCUCAAUUGAAGAUCUUAUCUUGGGUUAUACAC